GGGGGCAUAGCUCAGUGGUAGAGCAUUCGACUGCAGAUCGAAAUGUCCCCGGUUCGAACCCGGGUGCCCCCU
This 72-nucleotide transfer RNA is filed under the name Rhipicephalus sanguineus (brown dog tick). RNAcentral's name for it is "transfer RNA cysteine (anticodon GCA)". It matches the Rfam family "tRNA". From Rfam's summary of the family: Transfer RNA (tRNA) molecules are approximately 80 nucleotides in length. Their secondary structure includes four short double-helical elements and three loops (D, anti-codon, and T loops). Lineage: Eukaryota; Metazoa; Arthropoda; Arachnida; Ixodida; Ixodidae. The record is from Rfam by way of RNAcentral.